GACGGAGGGUGCAAGCGUUGUUCGGAUUUACUGGGCGUAAAGCGCGCGCAGGCGGUCGUUCAAGUCGGGUGUGAAAGCCCCCGGCUCAACUGGGGAGGGUCACUCGAUACUGAUCGACUCGAAGGCAGGAGAGGGUAGUGGAAUUCCCGGUGUAGUGGUGAAAUGCGUAGAUAUCGGGAGGAACACCAGUGGCGAAGGCGACUACCUGGCCUGUUCUUGACGCUGAGGCGCGAAAGCUAGGGGAGCAAACGGG
This 253-nucleotide ribosomal RNA is filed under the name uncultured bacterium. RNAcentral's name for it is "partial 16S ribosomal RNA". It matches the Rfam family "Bacterial small subunit ribosomal RNA", at positions 524 to 776 of the family's 1533-position model. The record is from RNAcentral.